CCCUUAGAUGUUCUGGGCCGCACGCGCGCUACACUGAUGCAUUCAACGAGCCUAGCCUUGACCGAGAGGUCCGGGUAAUCUUUGAAACUGCAUCGUGAUGGGGCUAGAUUAUUGCAAUUAUUAAUCUUCAACGAGGAAUGCCUAGUAAGCGUGAUUCAUCAAAUCGCGUUGAUUACGUCCCUGCCCUUUGUACACACCGCCCGUCGCUCCUACCGAUUGAGUGUGUUGGUGAGGAGCUCGGAUUGGCAGCAGGUGGUGGUUCGCCACCGCCUAUUGCUGAGAAGUCCUCCAAACCGCCCCACUUAGAGGAAGGAGAAGUCGUANCA
RNAcentral lists this ribosomal RNA (326 nucleotides) under uncultured eukaryote. RNAcentral's name for it is "partial 18S ribosomal RNA". It matches the Rfam family "Eukaryotic small subunit ribosomal RNA", at positions 1470 to 1796 of the family's 1831-position model. The record is from RNAcentral.